CAGAGAGAGGGAGAGAGACAGACAGACAGACAGACAGAGAGAGAGAGAGAGACAGGUCUUACAGGUUUAAGUAGAAACAGACAGUCACAGUUGGUGUGGAGUUGUCUGUCUGUCUCUCUCUCUGCCUGUCUGUCUGUCUGUGGGACAAACAGACAGACAGUGAGACAGGUCUGUC
This is a long non-coding RNA of Sander lucioperca (pikeperch), 175 nucleotides long. RefSeq lists it as uncharacterized. The record is from RefSeq and is a predicted model, not a curated record. The transcript has 3 exons. NCBI's taxonomy places the organism in Eukaryota, Metazoa, Chordata, Actinopteri, Perciformes, Percidae.